RNAcentral lists this transfer RNA (53 nucleotides) under Cyclodictyon roridum. RNAcentral's name for it is "partial tRNA-Leu". Lineage: Eukaryota; Viridiplantae; Streptophyta; Bryopsida; Hookeriales; Callicostaceae. The record is from RNAcentral.
CUUAAAAUCCGUUGGCUUUAUUGACCGNGAGGGUUCAAGUCCCUCUACCCCCA